Molecule: unclassified non-coding RNA, 211 nt
Filed under: Glomus sp.
Lineage: Eukaryota; Fungi; Glomeromycota; Glomeromycetes; Glomerales; Glomeraceae
Description: partial contains 5.8S ribosomal RNA and internal transcribed spacer 2
Source: RNAcentral
GUGAAUCAUCGAAUUUUUGGACGCAAAUUGCACUCUCUUCGGAGACUAUGCCUGUUUGAGGGUCAGCCUAAAAAAAUCGACAUCGUUGCUGGUUCGCGGUGGCGUUCGUCGGUAAUUGGGUUAUCUUAAAGCUUUGUUUUAAGCGACUGAAAAUUUUCUUUACGAUUUCAUGAACGUGUCCCAUAGUAAUUUAUUUACACGGGUAAGUGAU